UGCCACGCAUUUCCUAUUCCUCCUGGAGGACCCUGCAAGGGCCUUCCUAUAGCUCCUCAAGUUGUUCUGUCUUGGCAGCCACCUGCAGGUGAGCCUGGCCUGGCCCAGCUCACCACACCCUGCUGUUAAUAACAGCUGGAGGAGCUGGGGCCGGGAGCCGCCUGGAGCUAGGGGGCCCCAGCUUCCAGGUGUGGUUGCUGAGCUGCACUGUGGGGUACACAGGUUACUUCUGUCUCAGGAAAAGGCCAGGAUCACCUGCCCAGCACCCUGCCAGUGGACACCAGUCUCCAAAGCAAAGCUCUUUGGGGAGGUUGAUGGCCAGCAUCUCCUGCAGCCUCAGCUUUUGCCCAGUCCCUACAAAGGAAAUCUGUACAUGUUGCUGUGGAAACUGCAUGAAUGUGACAGACCUUGUAAGGCCUAGUAUUCUUGCAUGAUGCAAAGAGAGGAGAUGGUAUUCUUGAAAAUCUAUAUCCACUGGGGAACAAACAGUUGCUGAAGCAAGAGGUUUGAUGCCCCAUUUACACCCUCACUCAUCAACAGAGCUGAAACAUUGCCUGGCAUCUUUCCCCAUUCUACAAGCAAUUGGGACUGAGCUGGCAAACAGGAGCAGGAGGGCUCGAAAAUGAUUUGCCUGAGUCCAGACCAAACUGCUUUUAGUAUUAGUGUUUGGAAUAGAAUUCGAAGUUCUUAAGAUUUCACAUUAUUUAGCCUUCAAUAGAUUUUCAUAUGCAUAACCUUCAACAUACUUUCAUAUGCAUAACUCUCCAUGCUUUUCCAUUAUUGGCCAUAUUUAUGAGAACAACUGAAACCUUCAGUCUCCUACUCUCAUUGUCAGUAAAAGCAGGAAAAGUGACAGCAAUAAAAAAGUCUUGGCUUC
Molecule: non-coding RNA, 877 nt
Organism: Manis javanica (Malayan pangolin)
Lineage: Eukaryota; Metazoa; Chordata; Mammalia; Pholidota; Manidae
Source: RefSeq, a predicted model, not a curated record